CUAAAUUUAAACUUUUUUAUUUAUACAUAUAUUUUUUUAAGAAACAAACUAUGUUAAAAUGCCUUAGAAAAGCAAAAUUCUAAGCUUAACAUCAGUGACGUCCGGCAUAUAUGUCCAAAUGUAAUGGUUAUUACAUGAAUAAAAUUCAAAUCUAAAAAAUUCAAGAGGCAUUAAUCACCCAGGCCGAGAGAUGCCGAAUUUUAAUCUUGUGAUGAAACUUAAUCCAAAUACCCAAUUGAUUAAUCCCAAAACCUUCACGUUAGACAAGAUUCAACAUCAUAGGAAAUUGAUCAUGAACAACAAAAUCUCAAAAUGGGAAUAAAGUCAUGCAUUAACAGCAUGAUCUCAAAAUAACACCAAGACAAGAAAAUAACGGGUUCAUAAGUGAGAGAGAUAAGAGGUAACCUCAACUUUUUGUAUCAAAAAAUGUUCUAAGACAGGAAACCCCAGACAGUGACCUUCGGCGGAAUCGUGAAUCUGCAUGAAAACCUUAGACUAAAGCCUUCGACAACCUCGAAACUCGCCGGGAAAUUCGUAUUGAACCCAAAACAAAUGAAAUCAACAGAAAAAGAAUGAAGUUGCUACUGCGUUUUUGCUCUUUGUCCUCAAAUAAUCUCCAUUUCUGGAAUUAGAAAAUAAAAGAAGAGUAAACUUGUUUUUUCCAGAUUUUGUCCGAAAAUUUCCCAAGCUUUUCCCCUAUCCCUAUGUGCGUGUGGGUGUGUCUGUGAAUACGACGAUGUAUCCAUUUACGCGGCCGCGUUUGAAGAUGUGAGAAUGAGAAGGGUGAAGUUCAGGUGUUAAGGGUGAUUGUUUGGUUGUGCGGCGUGGUGAGGGAUGGCGGCGUAUUUUUGUGAAGUGAAGAAAUAGGCGCUGAUGGAGGAGUGGUAGGCGCCUGACUUGGAUGUAAGAAGAAGGGGACGACUUGGUUGAUUUUCCUCCCCCUAGGGUUAGGUCAUGUGUCCAUUAAGAAGAAGAUUUGCUGAUGGAUUGUUUAGGGUUGGGGUAGGGUCAAUUGGGCCAAAA
This 1023-nucleotide long non-coding RNA is filed under the name Nicotiana benthamiana. RNAcentral's name for it is "long non-coding RNA (NBEN_LNC010483)". The record is from RNAcentral. Lineage: Eukaryota; Viridiplantae; Streptophyta; Magnoliopsida; Solanales; Solanaceae.